GAUUUAUUUGCAUCGUAUAAUGGACGUAGACACAUUACUGAAUCAAUAUUUAAAUUCUUAUGUGUUGAUCUUAUUGUUCUUUUCGAUUUUAUUAUUCACUUUUGCACAACACACGCCUCUGGAUUUUAUGCAAUAUCUUAUGAUCUCACAAUGCUUGGCACAAGAAUAGAUAGUAUUUUCGAACUCAUCAAAACCUCAAAUCUAUGUUAUAUUAAUUAUUUACCUCAAUCAUUCUUAGACAAUCGCAUUGUUUGUGCACUUUCUGCUGAAUAAUUUUGUACAUUGCCAUUAACAGCUUUCUGUCAAAUUUCACUUUGAUCUUCACUUG
This 328-nucleotide long non-coding RNA is filed under the name Olea europaea (common olive). Its description in RNAcentral is "long non-coding RNA (OEUR_LNC003271)". Lineage: Eukaryota; Viridiplantae; Streptophyta; Magnoliopsida; Lamiales; Oleaceae. The record is from RNAcentral.